RNAcentral lists this ribosomal RNA (254 nucleotides) under uncultured bacterium. RNAcentral describes it as "partial 16S ribosomal RNA". It matches the Rfam family "Bacterial small subunit ribosomal RNA", at positions 524 to 776 of the family's 1533-position model. The record is from RNAcentral.
CACGUAGGGGGCGAGCGUUGUCCGGAAUCAUUGGGCGUAAAGAGCUCGUAGGCGGCUCAGUAAGUCGGGUGUGAAACCCUCAGGCUCAACCUGGGGACGCCACCCGAUACUGCUGUGGCUAGAGACCAGUAGGGGAGUGUGGAAUUCCCGGUGUAGCGGUGAAAUGCGCAGAUAUCGGGAGGAACACCAGCGGCGAAGGCGGCACUCUGGGCUGGAACUGACGCUGAGGAGCGAAAGCGUGGGUAGCAAACAGG